CUCUCUCUCUCUCUCUCUCUCUCUGCUUACUAGCUCCUAUCUCGGUUGCCUCCUCCUUGACGGUUGCUGGCUGCAGCCCUGUAGCUUGUUCGCUGCUGAUUCCAGCCAUCAUCGUCCUCCUUUUAGCUACCUAGCUAUGUUCUAUAACUUGUUGGCUGCUGCAAUGGCUGCUCUCCUUCUUGUGGAUUUUGAUCUUUGGAUGUUUUAGUACAAAAAACAGGUUUCAUGAUACUAGAUAUGGUAGAAAGAAAUAAUCUAUGUGAGAUAUAUGGGCAUGCUUAUUUAUGCAUAUGAUUAAAUCUAUGCAUAUUUAAAAGCUUGGAGCGCUAUCCUCCCUAGACGGCUGCUUAGGCCGUAUAGGGAGUCCACUGAUUAGCCUCGCCUCAGCAGUUGGACAGGUAUCUUGACAAUUCAUUCAUAUAUCAUUUUGCAAUAAUCAUAGUAAACUAAUUCAGAGUACUUGGUAAUAUGCAUAUCUGGAAGAAAAGUCAUAAAGAAGGCAUAAAUGGUCAUUGCAUGCAAAUACCAACAAGGCAAGCAAACACAUCCAACAAAUUUGACAAUGUAACUAAAGAAAGACCAAAAUGAGUUACUUGCAACUACUCGAAGUGGAAAUCCUUGACCUCAUGAUUGCAAACAAUAUUCUCGAAUGUACUACAGGGUCAACCUUUAGUCAUAUUAACAGUUUAAGCAGCCCAAAUGAUAGUCCAACAUGUGGCAACACUUUCAAAUGAUGACUAUAAAAAGGAAUUUAUUAGGAAAUGCAAAAUAUAAGCAUGAUGCAGUCUUAAGGAACUAUUUUUGAAAAAUUAAUUUGAUUCAAAUUUCCUGGUACUAGGAGCACAAGGGGAACGUACAUAAAAAAACAUGGGAAACCAUGGAAAAACAGAACUGCCUAUCAAUCA
RNAcentral lists this long non-coding RNA (905 nucleotides) under Phoenix dactylifera (date palm). RNAcentral describes it as "long non-coding RNA (PDAC_LNC002739)". Lineage: Eukaryota; Viridiplantae; Streptophyta; Magnoliopsida; Arecales; Arecaceae. The record is from RNAcentral.